RNAcentral lists this small nuclear RNA (18 nucleotides) under Arabidopsis thaliana (thale cress). RNAcentral describes it as "snRNA_18528". The record is from RNAcentral. Lineage: Eukaryota; Viridiplantae; Streptophyta; Magnoliopsida; Brassicales; Brassicaceae.
CCCAACUGACAGACUUCC